Molecule: long non-coding RNA, 2010 nt
Organism: Trifolium pratense (red clover)
Lineage: Eukaryota; Viridiplantae; Streptophyta; Magnoliopsida; Fabales; Fabaceae
Exons: 4
Source: RefSeq, a predicted model, not a curated record
UCCAAAAGCGCUAUUAUUCUUAGAUAGCACUUUCCAGUGAAAAAAAACACUAUGCUUCAAAAAAAAUAAACUAAAUAUUUUACGCAUCGUUCUUAAAAUCGCAGAUCUAACUUCAUUCCUUAAAAAAACCUGAAUCCUCCAUAUCGUUCCAUCGCUCUCCACUCUCAGAUCUCAAUCUCGUUGAACCUCCAUCUCCUUUGUUUUGGGCCAACACUCUCAUAUUUCAACCUCAAUCUGCGCCGAACCCUAAAUCUCGUUCUAGCAAGAAAGGCCAAGAAUCAAUAUACAUGGAAAGAGCAAUUAAGAGGUCAGUCAUGAACUCCAUAGAUUAUUUUGAUUUUGACGAAUCCGCCGAUCUCACUGCUCUUUAUGAUAAGCACACUAAAUAGUUGAAAUCACUCCCUAAGCUUGAUUCCAGCAUAUACAAGGGAACUUUCAAUUUCAAGCCUGGACAUGUACAAGGUGAGUGCCCAACAUUUUGAUUGGUUUUAUUUGUUAAUUUGAUUGAUGAUGAUUGUUAACAUUAGUAAGUAUUUUGAUUGAUGACUGUAUUGUGCUGGCAUUAUAUUAAGGGACGAAAUUUGAACAACAAUCAAGGUAAUUUUAAUUGUAUUUGUCACUAUUGUACUUAACUUUAGUCUACGAGUAUGAACUCAAAAUAUAGGAAAAUUUAGAAAUUGGAAAUCUACUAAACCAGACACUGGUCAAGAGAAACCAAACACCAUCUUCAAAUCCACUUUCUCUUGUUGGUUCAAAAGUUUCCUACAUUGAAAGCUUAGUCUAUGAGUAUGAACUCAAAAUAUAGGAAACUUUUAUGCAAAAUCAACCACUAAGUCUCAUUUUUUAUACUUUGUUUAUUUGUGUAGGAUACAUGACAAUGAUUUGUUGCUGGGCAGGUUUAUGGUUUGUUUUCAGCAUAAUGCAUUUGUCCGCGUGCUGCUUUUUGUGCUUGGCUGAAGCGAUAUUUGUUGUUAUUGAUUUUGCUCUAUGAGGGGUUGUUCUUGUGGACGAGUGCAUUUGUGUAAUUGAUGCAAAUGGAUGGUAAGCUGGUUUGUUUCAAUUUCUCACACUGAUUUCUAGUUUUCAUGAAUUUUUCUUUGCAUUGUUCUUAUCUUUUUUGAGCUUUUUAUGUCACAUACUUCAGGAACUGUUUGAUAAUUUUGGGGGAUCAAAAUGUUUUAUAACAUUAUUAACAACUUAUACAUCUUUUUAUUUAUAUGCAGUUUGUGUUUUACUAUAUAUUAGAACCCACAUGAGAUCAAAGUUCAAAGCAACUGAUACAUUAUUAGCCUUUAGUUCAUGUAUUCAAAUAAAUAGCCUCUAGGUCCCCUUGACUUAAACAUAUAUGGUCAAUAACUGUGUUCAGGUUCACCUCUAUUAUUGGAAUUGGGUGAUUUUAUGAUUUUGUUCAUUUUUCUGCAUUUAGGUAUCAAUCAUAGGAAAAUGGAUAUUAUGUUUUAAUUUGUAUGAAUAAGUUGGCAUAGUUGAUCAUGAUAUUAGUAGUCAAGCUUGUUUCUUGUAUAUGCAUGUCCUUAUUGAUGUAUUAUUCCAUGUCCAAAUUCUUUUGACUUGAUCUCUGUUGAGAAUUGGCGUAUGAUGUGCUAGUGAAUGAGUAAAUUGAUCUGCAGUCACGAGAGAAUCACAAAUUGUAGAUGUUACACAUUGGUAGAGUUAAAGAAUGAUAUUGCUCUUGAUCUUAAAGAAGAUGACAUCUCAUUUUGCACACUGAUUUUGAGGGACUUCUUGAAAACAUGAAAGAUGCUUGCUUGGUUUGGCAAUUGGCAGAGGAUUUGCUUAGGUUGAUUGGUUUGUCUUGUUAUAAUUAGUGUCAUGAACAUCAUCUAGGGGAUUAGGAUAAUUAGUUUGUUUUUGUCUUGGACACAAUAUUGUCAUGCUUCUUUGUUUGUUUUGUGAAGGAUGGGAGACUCAUGUAAUUUGAUGGUACUUAUUGACCUUCUUUGUGCCUUUUUAUAUCUUUAUUAAUAUAGUUUUUGCCUUUUGACCUUUGUA